ACAGCAGUCGCCGCGGGAAUACGUAGGGUGCAAGCGUUAAUCGGAAUUACUGGGCGUAAAGCGUGCGCAGGCGGUUAUAUAAGACAGAUGUGAAAUCCCCGGGCUCAACCUGGGAACUGCAUUGGUGACUGCAACGCUGGAGUGCGGCAGAGGGGGAUGGAAUUCCGCGUGUAGCAGUGAAAUGCGUAGAUAUGCGGAGGAACACCGAUGGCGAAGGCAAUCCCCUGGGCCUGCACUGACGCUCAUGCACGAAAGCGUGGGGAGCAAACAGGAUUAGAUACCCGCGUAGUCCCUGUCUCUUAUAC
This 305-nucleotide ribosomal RNA is filed under the name uncultured bacterium. RNAcentral's name for it is "partial 16S ribosomal RNA". It matches the Rfam family "Bacterial small subunit ribosomal RNA", at positions 508 to 807 of the family's 1533-position model. The record is from RNAcentral.